This 552-nucleotide long non-coding RNA is filed under the name Theobroma cacao (cacao). RNAcentral describes it as "long non-coding RNA (TCAC_LNC005764)". The record is from RNAcentral. Lineage: Eukaryota; Viridiplantae; Streptophyta; Magnoliopsida; Malvales; Malvaceae.
GAGAAAGAACACCAGAUGAUAGAACUAUACAUACAGUAUCCAUCCCGGGUCAGACAACUCAGAAUAUUCACACAAAAAGAACACGUGAGAGCUAUAAACAAACAGAACAUGUUCCCCUGUUUCCACUUCUUGCAUAACCUUAACCUGUAGCUUACUCGUAAACAACCAUCUCUGCACAAACACAUAGCACCUUCAGCUCAAAUCACAAAAGCUUCUUUGAUUGCCAAAAUCUCUGCCAUUUAUUAGCAUCCAGUUGAUCGCAAAAAGACAGUCUUUAUGUUGCCAUGUCCAUCUCCUAAAAUGCCUCUUGUACCGGUAUCACCGGGACAUCCCCUCGCUGUUGUUUUUGUUCUCUUUUGUUUCCUGUGAGUUUGGUGUUUGGUCCCUUGUUCUGGGACUCUCUGUUUCAAAGGUUCAGUGUUUACAGACCCUUCUUGUACCUUCUUUUGAUAUGUUUUUUCCUCUACUUGAGGCCUAAGCAGUAACUAGGAGUUUUGUUCCUUGUAAGUUCGAAUGAAGAUAACACCUUAUUGUCGAUGCCUUAUCAAGUAC